This 250-nucleotide ribosomal RNA is filed under the name uncultured bacterium. RNAcentral describes it as "partial 16S ribosomal RNA". It matches the Rfam family "Bacterial small subunit ribosomal RNA", at positions 524 to 773 of the family's 1533-position model. The record is from RNAcentral.
UACGUAGGGUGCAAGCGUUGUCCGGAAUUAUUGGGCGUAAAGAGCUCGUAGGCGGCUUGUCGCGUCUGCUGUGAAAUCCCGGAGCUCAACUCCGGGCCUGCAGUGGGUACGGGCAGGCUAGAGUGCGGUAGGGGAGAUUGGAAUUCCUGGUGUAGCGGUGGAAUGCGCAGAUAUCAGGAGGAACACCGAUGGCGAAGGCAGAUCUCUGGGCCGUAACUGACGCUGAGGAGCGAAAGCAUGGGGAGCGAAC